Molecule: unclassified non-coding RNA, 5023 nt
Filed under: Octopus sinensis (East Asian common octopus)
Lineage: Eukaryota; Metazoa; Mollusca; Cephalopoda; Octopoda; Octopodidae
Description: oocyte zinc finger protein XlCOF6-like, transcript variant X2
Source: RNAcentral
AUUAUAUACAUAUAUAUAUAUAUAUAUGUACAAAGAAAGGUGAAACAUUCAACAAAUUCUGUUUUCUCAAAAAAAAAGAAAAUAUAUAUAUAUAUAUAUUUAUUCCGAAAUAUUCUGUGCUUUAUUGUUUUACGGUCGACAGAUCCAAUGGCCGGGAAAGGGUGGAGAAAAUUUGUGUUGGUGUUUUUUCGGUCGGUCGAGAUGAUAUGUUAAGACAGUCGAGACCGACAUCCAAACUUCACCUUGACACCAUAGUUUCUUCACAUCAAGUGAGUCCCUUCUUCAGAAUAUUUUCGCACCUGUCUCCAAUGAACCGUAUCUGUAUUCCUAGAGUCACAUAUUUUGACAAACUUUACCUGAAACUCCAGCACUUAUUCUGAAGAAUCUGCACUGAUGUCUAACAGCCUAAUUUUGAACUUUCUUCCCUAAAAUUAUUUUAGAGCCAUUUUGACAUCAGAGACCUUUUCCAGAAGAUUUACUUUCUUCUUCUAUCUCCGAAGUUAUAUUUCCAGAAAUUUCACUGCCCUAAUUUUGAAGAGCAUUCUUUAAAAUUCCAGUGACCCCGCAAGAAAGAGGACCUUUCUGUAAUAUUUAUAACUUUAUCUUCUACAAUUUUCUCUAAUAUUCUUUAAUCUUGAUGCUUAAGAACAUUCACCGAAAUUCUAAUAUAUUUAAUCAUUCUACCCAAAAAAAAAAACUGGAUCUCCUCAAGUGGUCCUUAACCAAGAAAUAUUUUCUGCUGACAAAGUCUAAAUCAUUGGAAGACUUCCGCCAAACUGGGUGGCGUUUGAAACAAACUAAGCCACCUUCUCAUGAAACAUAAGAUUCCUUUGCUCUGGUGCUUAACUCUGGUUUCUGUGGUAUCAAGUAGAUGAGAGAUAAAUCUCCCCCUGGACGUAAUAAUAUUGCUAUGUGGAAUUUCCCGAGAAAUAUCAAGUAGUUAACCGUCAUUUAGUUGAAGUGGGACACAUCAACAACAACGACAUUUUCAGUGGUAUUUCCUCAGAAAAUAUCUUGUUGCUUAUCUUCCUGCUGGUGAAGGAAGACACGACAACCACAACAGGAACAACAACAUUUGCAGUGGAAAUUCUCCACAAAUGCCUCGUUGCUGGUCUUCAUGUAAAAAAAGCAACACAGACAUAAUAACAUCACCUGCUUUGUGAUAGGAAGGGGCCAACUGUCCCAGAUCGAACAGUCCCCCUCUCCAAUACAUCUUCUUCUCUUCACCAGAACUUUUUUUUGCUCACCAUUUACACAAAUGUCACACAAGGACUACAUCAAUCACCAAAUGUGAUUUCAAUUUAUAGAAAAUUAAUUAUAAUUUCUUCAUAAUUUGGAAUCAUUUUCCUAGAAAUUUAUUUCUUGUUUAUUUUAAAAUUCAACAAUUCUUCCAUCAUACCAAGACGAAAGACUAAAAACUAAAGACUAUGUCCGUCAAGUUUGUAUCAUGUAACAAAAUUUGUGUUGAGGAAUAGACAACCUGCUGCCACACACACACACAUACACAUACACACAGGCUUACACCUGCAUUCAUACAAUAUGUAAACGAUUUUACCAGUCCUUCUUCCCUGGAGCUGUGUCUCCCUCUGGAACUCACUCUUGGCCCAUGUAUUGUCCCUACCAAACUACAACAGUUUAAAUGGAAGAUUAAACCUCACCCCCACCCCAGUCUAGAAGAGGACUGUUAAAACCAUUGCUAUGGUCACUGGCUCUCCUCACACUAAUUAAAAACAACACACACACACACACAAAGAGGCUCAUACAUACAUACACAUACACACACAUAUACAUACAUGCAUAUAGAUAUACAUAGAUUUAUACACAUAAACACACACAGUCUACUGGUUGUAUUAAAGUUACAUUAGUACGUCAGUGCAAAUGUAUACAUACAUGUACACAAAUCUGAACAUAUAAUUUAUAUGUCCCUGCAGUUAUAUACAUACAUACAUACAUACAUAUAUACAUACAUAUAUACAUACAUACAUACAUAUAUAUACAUCUGGUUAUAUAUCAGCACAUAUAAAUAUUGCACACGCUUGAACCACUUUCCAUAUAGCGUGCACAGACACAAACACACUCAUAGCCAGACGACACAUACACUUAAGGAACACACACAUACACACACACAUAUACAGAGUCCAUUCACUAAAUAUAUACAAAUAGAAACACACACGGUAUAGUCACACAGACACAGUCACAAAGUAUCACACACACACACACACACACACAUUGUCAAAUCCACAACAACAGUUUCACUCUGAUUGCUCAAUAUAUCUAUCGUCUUAAACAAGUAUCUCAACCAACAAAAAUGCUGUCAGCAGAAGGAAGCCAUCUGAUAAUUAACCAAAAGUCAUAACUGUUUCUGUGAUAAUUACUACAUCAGUUUCUAAUAACAAUCUAAUUAACAAUGUGUAAUUAAUUAUGUCUAAUCUAUCUAACCAAAUGUAUCCAUUCAAUAACCAAUACGGAUUAGAUUUACAUAAUCCUCCUGGAUUAUUCUACGGAGGUGAAGACUCUUUGAAGCUGAACCAGCAUGAGAAUGGAUCAAAUGCGGAACAGGGCCAGCGCCACACUGGCGGGAAGUCUUGUAGGUGUAAUUUCUGCCAAAAGGGCUAUCCCCAUACGAUGUCGGCCAAUCCGAGGAUGUCGUCUGAUGGCAACAGCGGAGCCAGCAGCAGCAACAACAGCAAUGACAACAACAGCAACAUGUUGGAUUCUAUACAACAACAACAACAGCAGCAGCAGCAACCUCAUGGCAUGAAUCCGCUUCUCAAUUCCAGCUCAACUCAUUCUUUGCAGUCUCCACCUCACUCUGACAGCGCAAUUAUGAACGGAAGUGAUAAUGGAGACGAUGCUGGCAAUGUGUCGAGUUUGAAAUCAACCCCACAUUCAAACCCGACCCGAACUCCUCCCGUCUCUUCUUCCAACAGCGUUAUCCCGCCCCUCCUAAUCCCCAAUGUCCCCACUUCUUCGAGCAACUCUGCAAAAUGCUUCUUCUGCACUUUCUGCAAGAAGGCCUUUGCUCAGCAAAUCCACUUGAAAAACCACGAACUUACCCACACAGCAGGGGGCGAGUAUCAACAGAAACCUUACACGUGUGAGAUCUGUAACAAGAGCUUCAACCUGCAAAUUAAUUUGAAGAAUCACCAGAGAAUACAUUCAGGGGAGAAACCCUUCACCUGUGUCGAGUGUGGGAAAGCCUUCAGCCAGCAAGGGAAUCUGAAGAUACACAUGAGAACACACACUGGCGAAAAGCCUUAUCAAUGCGAAUUAUGCCCGAAGGCAUUCAGCCAACGAACCAACUUGGAGAACCAUUGUCGUAUACAUACAGGUGACCUCUUUAGUUGCAUGACGUGUUCGAAGACUUUCACGUUGCAAAUUAACUUACGCAAUCAUGAACGCAUCCAUACAGGUGAGAAACCGUACUUGUGUGGGUUUUGCCCCAAAGCGUUCAGUCAGCAAACGGCACUGAAGAAUCACCACCGGACACACACCGGGGAAAAGCCUUACACAUGCUUAACAUGUGGCAAAGCUUUUAGUCAGCAAGGAAACUUGAAACUCCACAUGAGGAAUCAUACUGGAGAGCGACCGUUUGUGUGUCAGACAUGUGGCAAAGCGUUCAGUCAACGGGUCAACUUGGAGGACCAUAAACGCCUGCACACCGGAGACAUGUUCUACUGUCAAUUCUGUAAGAAGGCCUUUGCCAAUGCUUUCUUCCUCCGCAACCACGAACGUAUUCACACCGGUGAGAAGCCAUUCAAGUGUUCGUUUUGUCCCAAAGCGUUCAGUUUGCAGAUAAACAUGAAGAAUCACAUGAGAACGCAUACUGGAGAGAAGCCGUUUAGGUGUUUAACUUGUGGGAAGUCCUUCAGUCAGCAGGGCAACCUGAAGUUGCACAUGCGAACACACACAGGCGAGAAACCCUAUCAAUGUGAACUCUGUCCGAAGACGUUCAGUCAGAAGACGAACCUGGAUAACCAUAGGCGUAUUCAUAACGGGAACAUGUUUAAGUGUUCGAUGUGUUCAAAGGCAUUUACUCUUCAAAUCAGUUUGCAGAAUCACGAACGCAUUCAUACUGGGGAGAAACCUUAUUAUUGCACUGUGUGUAACAAAACAUUUGCACAGCGUGGAAAUCUGAAAACUCACUUUCGCAUACACACGGGGGAGAAACCUUUUCAAUGUGACGUGUGUGGGAAAAGCUUCUCACAGAGGGCCAAUCUAAACAAUCACAAACGCACUCGCACUGGUUGUGAACUCUAUUCAAAGCCAUCGGCCACUGCUGGAUCGUCGGCCCUGACCACCUCUAAGGAAUCUAACAUAGGGAAAGACUAUACGUCCCCGCAAAUCGCUGACAGGUCGGGGUCAGAGAUGUCCUCUUCGAACCUGUCUCCUCCAUCGUUCCCUUGCAACACACGCAGGAGCCCACCGCCUAAGACUAACAACCCUUCUUUGAAAUCCAGAGAUCCAUCACACACUGAGGGUAGCAGCACAAGCCACCCGGAUGCUCCCAGUCAGACCCACAUGAGGAGCCACAGCCACAGCAACAUGGCCAGCAUCCUCCCCAGCCACCCGACCUCCCAGCCACAAAACCUUCAUCACAUGAACCCUAGAGACUCCAAGAAUCACAGUGUCCGACUCCAGGCCCCGUCGGUCACACCCAGCUGGAUGGCACCGGCCUACCUCCACGAGAUACCCCCCAACUGGGAGAACAAUUACUUGUGGUCGCGCAGCUUCCCCAUCCCCCCUAUUUUGGGCACUGGCUGGCCCAACAUGUCCAGUAUCCCCAACAUACCCAACACCGUGUCGAACGGACACAAGCAACAGCACCACCCUAUCUCUAAUCACCCGCACUCUAUUUCCUCCUCACUCCAUUCCAAUCGAAAAACAUAAGAGACCCCUUUCUCUAGAUUUCUAAUAUUGAAUCCUGAAUCAAUUGACAAUGUCACCUUUGACCCUUGGGGUCAGAAAAUGUUAUGACUGUAACAUACAUACAUACAUACACACACACAUACACACACACACA